UGUCCCCUUCCAAAGGUGCAAAACUCUUUGAAAUUUGAGAUGUUUCACUAUUUGCUUUCUUUGCAGUCUUAACAUUCUCAAUUCUCUCCUACAUAAAAAGAGCAUACAAAAAGUUAUAUGAGUAAUAUUAUUUUAUUUUUAAAAAUAAAUCUAUAAUUAAGAGCGUAAGAGAAUAAAUUACAAUAAUAGCUACUGCCUC
Molecule: long non-coding RNA, 199 nt
Filed under: Elaeis guineensis (African oil palm)
Lineage: Eukaryota; Viridiplantae; Streptophyta; Magnoliopsida; Arecales; Arecaceae
Description: long non-coding RNA (EGUI_LNC043400)
Source: RNAcentral